This is a non-coding RNA of Rattus norvegicus (Norway rat), 1766 nucleotides long. Lineage: Eukaryota; Metazoa; Chordata; Mammalia; Rodentia; Muridae. The record is from RefSeq and is a predicted model, not a curated record.
AGUGAGGGGGGGUGGAGGAAGAGAAGGUGGGACGUAGAACAGAACCCAGCAAAGAGGAGAGCGGAGAAGCCUCACGGGGGAUUGGCUGGAGUCAGCUGUCAGUCAAGUGCAGCCCGCCUUCGACAUCCCUUCCCCCUCGCGUGGCUCCCCCUCUCCGUCCCUCGCUUGUAAGCCCGGCCUUUUCGGCUCGCCCAUUGGCUGGGCUCCUUUGGUGACGAAGAGGGUGGGGUUCGCCCGUGAGCUGAAGGAGGCGCGAGUUUGAGCGCCGCGCGCGCGCCGCUCUCCUCUCUGCUUUUCCCCGUUCCCUGGCGGCCCGCCCCCUCGGGCUCCCGCCAACCUCAGGGGCCUCGGCCUAGGGCCCCAGCACCCGCCCCUCGGAUGGGGUCUGUGCUCGCAAAAGGGAGGGCACGCCCUGUUUCUACAUCGAGAUAGGCGGAGGCGAAGGACCGCAACGAACACAUAGGUGGCAGAUGAGUGAUCCACACAGUUGAUCCAGCUUGUUACUUUCUUUCGAGCGUGUGACAUGUUGACAGCCACACUCUAACCAAAGAAGAUCAACUUGGGACCGGAAUCGUCAGUUCACACCUCCCCUUUGCAAUGAGCUUUGAUGAACAUCAUGAUAAAAUCAGACUCAGGCCGAUUGGCAGAGCCUCGAGGUUUCUUCUGGAUCAAUCUGCCAUUGCUGAUUCGUGGGUGGUGAUCACAGAGUGGGCUGGACUGCAGCUGCUGAUGUUGGUGUUGGUGUUUGCUAGAGGACUGGACUGCUGACAACGAAGAUUGGAAUCGCCCCAAAGAACCAUUUCUAAAGAGGUCACAACCCCCUUUUCCCUAUUAAUUUUUCUUUCCCCACUACCUCUGCAGGGUGGUGGGCUAGAAGGGAGGUUGAAGCGAUUAAGAACACUUACUGAGCGCUGGAGAGAUGGCUCAGUGGUUAAGACCACUGUCCGCUCUUCCAGAGAUCCUGAGUUCAAUUCCCAGCAACCACAUGGUGGCUCACAACCAUCUGAAAUGGGGAUCUGAUGCCCUCUUCUGGUGAGUCUGAAGACAGUUGCAGUGUGCUCAUGUAAAUGAAUAGAUAAAUAAAAUAUAUUUUAAAAAAAGAACACUUAUUGAAGUAGGUUUUGAACAAUCAAAGCCUACAAACGUUUUGAUAUGAUACAGCAGAUCUCUCCCUCCAGGGGGGACAGAAAGGCUUAUAUGUCAGGAAGGUGGAGACUGUCGAGAUUCUCUGAGGCUCCUCACUAGCUACAGACAAAAUAAACAACCACCUAGGGAGCAGACACUGACCGUGGAACAGCAGAGAGCGGGCCUCUGGGACCAGAGAGCUACCAUCAAGGCCUUCAGGGAGCUCCAGGCCUGUGGCUGCUGGAUCCUCAUCUCUUUUGGGAUGGACUUCAGUAAUGUAUCUGCUUUUUAAAAAAAGACUUAUGUUUAUUUCUCUCUCUCUCUCUCUCUCUCUCUGUGUGCAUGUGCGUGUGUGUGUGUGUGUGUGUGUGUGUGUGUGUGUGUGUGUGACCAGCAAAGCAUAUUCAAUGCCCUGGAGCUGGAUGUGGGUGCUGGGAAUUGAACUCUGAUCCUCUACAAAAUCAGCAUGAGCUCUUAGUGGCCCAACCAUCUAGCUCUCUAGUUGCUUCUUUCUUCUCUCUUCUUUUUUUUCUUUUUCAUUUCUUUUCUUUUUUUUUUUUUUGAGUCAUCCCUGCUCCCAUAAGAGAUCUCUCAUCCACACCCCUGUCAGUAGCUCUAGUAAAAACUCUCCAAUUCCUCAA